AGUUCUCUAUGCAAUGCGUCAUCUGUCACAGGGCCGGUGAGGCGCAGGCGUGAGCUGCCCAGGGGCAGGAUGAGCGGAGGGUGCGAGGAAAAACUUUCAAAGAUAUCCCCUAAUUCUGACUCAACGCAUCUAAGAAAUGGAGCAUAGAAAACUCUUUCUAGCAAGUUCGGAGUCAGAAGCAUUCAGCAUCCAUGUUCAGUCACUCUUGACACCGACUUCUGCGGCUGCCAGUGGCCCGUCAUGGUGUCUAAGUCAUCUCACGGGCUGGAGAUGACUCGGGGUCACAGAGAGGCUGAGUACACAGAGCCGGGAUAGAGAUUCAAAAGUCAAAGUCAUACAAAGCCGACCAAGAGUCACCUUGAGCAGGGAGGUGCGGGGCACACAUAGCAGGUUCACAGCAAUGGAAAGUUUCCGGAAGAACUCAGUGGCAAUGUCACCCAGCCCGGCCCCCUGAAGCCAAUCCAACACAAGAUCCAAGUUGGUUCUGAUUUGGACGGCUCGAGACCAUUGAUAGAAAGGUCGGCCUUGACCUGUGUAGGAAGAAAUGAGAGGCGUUGAAUGAAGCUACUUCCCAGGCAAAGCCACCCAACGCUGAAGCCUGAAGCCUGGCUUAUGUCUGCCUGGAUUAGGUCUGGAUAGCUCCUGGCUCCUCCCAACACAACCCUCACCUCGUUCCAUCAGUGAGUUGAGAAGGGAUGCAUUGGAGAAGAAGAACAAAUAGCCAAAAGUCUGGGACACGAGGUCGGGAUGCAGCUCACACUGACUGGUCAGUUCUAGAGCUGCCUGGAACACACCCAGAGUAGGCCUGAGCCCAGGCGGCAUGGCCUCCAGCUCUGCGCCAGGCCCUGGCAGCUCUGCUCCAGCUGUGAAAGGGUUACUGUCCAGGAGAGCUGGCAGUGUUGAAUAAAGAGUCUGGGGGAGGAAACAGGCAACAACCAGAGAGUGACAAUCAAUAAAGACAAUGGGGAAUUCCAUCAAGGGCUUCUGGGAAAUGUAGUCCAUUCUACACCAUUCCCAGGUGGCUCCCUGAUCAAUCCCCCAUUUCCUCGGUGAAUUUCUAGCAGGUAUUAGGCUCCCUGGAAGAAUCUGUCCUGAGAAAUGUUUUUAGUAAAGUUUCUUAGGUAUUCUGAGAGCAUCUCUUGUGCAUUAUGUAAUCUGUAGUUCUCACAGAGAGGUAGCUCACGUAGGACAGGCCUCUGAACAAAAAAAAGGACCUUCUUCUUCGGUCAAGGAAACGUUUGAGCAGAAUUUCCAAAGGAAAUUAAAAGAAUGGAGAGUCCAGAAGUAGGAGUUGGGUGGCAGCCAGCCAAGGGAAAUUCGAGCAAGCCAAGGACAGGAAACGAAGGCGAUGACAGAAAAAACGUCAGGGUCUACUUGUCAAGACCACACAAGAAGUAAACCCUUAGAGGAAAGGGUUUCACAAGCAGGGCCACUCCCGGGUCAUUCACUUGGUAUGUCCCUCUUAUUUUACAGAUAAGAGAAUGCAUUUACCAAAACCAAAACCCAACCUGCAAAUAGGAAGGUCAAAGGUGGUAGAGGGGAAACCAAGCCCCACAAGAAUACUCCAGUGAAAAAAAGAAAAGGACCAAGGAUCAGAAAAGGGAAGUGAAGUCAGAUGCAGGAAGUGGUAUCAGCAAACACACAAAACUCAGCAGUCAACUUCACCAGUGUAAGCUUUAAAAAAAAAAAAAAAAGGUGACUGAUACAGAGGAGAUCAAUUCAGUUGGACAAGACAUAGGAGAGCCAAGACAGAAAAAUGAGCCAGAAAGGAAGUGAUGUCAGCCAAACAGGAAAUAGUGUGAUAAGAGCAAGGUGCUAGGGCGAAAUGGGAAGUGACUCCUAGGAGAAGGAAGUGACGUCAGAGCAGCACAAUGUCAGUUAGGUGGAAAGCGAGAGUAUUUCAGGAGGGAAGCGUCACCUUGGUGAGGUAGUAGACCGACUGCUGGAAAGUACACAUGAUGACCUCAUCCAGGAGGGCCAAGGCCUCAUCACACAGUUCCAAGUCAUUGCAGAGCUGUGGGUCCGAGGACAGGCCUGGGGAUGAGAGGGGGAACACGCUGGCUGCUAGAGCCUAGGUUUCUAGGCUCAGGGUAUGACAGCGGGACAGAGUGGGCCCGGGACCUCAGCUCACCCUCCUGGUCAGCCUCCUUCUCCAUCUCUAGCACUUUCUCCUGUACAAAGCUCAACAGCUCUGUGGUGUUGGCCAUCCAUAGUAUGAGUGGUCGCAGCUCCACAGACACAGCCUCAGGGGUCAGAGGCACCUCGGGAACUCCCUCUGGGUGGCUAAGGGAAGAAGGGGGGGGACCCUCAAUACAAAGACCAGACUUCAAGGUCUGAGUUUUCCCCCACCCAACUCUGUGACUCUCCAGAUCUGUACACCCCAGCUUUCUCUUACUUCUCUGGCUGGCGGUCUCCAAUUUCUUUAAUUUUUUCCUGUAGGACAGUAAGAUAAAAAUCCAUGUGAGAGGCUGGGUGGAGGGGAUCAAGGCUACGCAAAUUAGUUUGCCUAAAUGGACCUUUCUUGAGCACAAGCUGGUAUACGCUCAUACAUGUGUCUCUGUGUGCGCACGCAUGUUGCAGAGCUGGCUCCGUGUUUGCGUAUGUGUGGGUGCACGGGUAUGUGGAAGCCUGGUGUUGAUGCUGGCAUCUUCCUUGGUGACUCUGCUUUACUGAGGUAGAGGUUGUCCCUGUAUUUGAACCUGUUAAUUCCAGCUAGCUAGCUAGCCAGUUGGCUCCAGGGAAGGCUGUCCCGGCUCCCUGGGAGCUGGGAUGACAGGUGGUCGCCAUGUCUUCCUGGCUUUUACCUGGGUUCUCGGGCUUACAAGACAAGCACUUUAUCCCUUAGUCAUCUUCCCAGUUACACACACACACACACACACACACACACACACACACACACAGACACACACACACACACCACACACACAAAACACACAACACACGCACAGACACACACACACACACACACCACAGAAACACACACACACCUUUUUGUUCUUAAGACUUCUAUUAGCAUUGGCUCCCAAUUUUGUGCCCGCCUCCUAGCCUUGUCUCCUCCAGUCACAAAAUUCUGCCACACACAUCCAGCUUCCGACCAUUGACCUUUUAUGGUGGUUUUAUGUUUUUCUGUUUGGUUGAUUUCUGCUGUUGGUUGUUUGUUUGCUUGUUUUAAAACAUAGCUUCUUUCAAAAAAAAUAAAAUAAAAAAUAAUUAAAAACCAUA
This 3222-nucleotide long non-coding RNA is filed under the name Mus musculus (house mouse). Its description in RNAcentral is "RIKEN cDNA A030001D20 gene". The record is from RNAcentral. Lineage: Eukaryota; Metazoa; Chordata; Mammalia; Rodentia; Muridae.